CCAUCUUUUAAUUCAGUCUGUGAUGACGCCUGAACGACAUGUCCCUCCGGGAAUUUAUUAGUGUUUCCUCAAACAAACAAACAAACAGGUUUACAUUUCAUCUGCUCUUUGGGGGAACGUCUCAAAUGGCACCCUAUCCCCUAUAUUCCUAUUCCCUAUGUAGUGCCCUACUUUAGACAAGAGCCCUAUUCCCUAUGUAGUGCACUACUUUCGACCAGGGCCCUAUUCCCUAUACAGUACACUACUUUAGACCAGAGUGUCAAUGGCUUUGAAGAAGUAGUGCACUACUUUAGACCAGAGUGUCAAUGGCUUUGAUCAGAAGUAGGGCACUACUUUAGACCAGAGUGUCAAUAAGACGUAGUGCACUACUUUAGACCAGAGUGUCAAUAAGACGUAGGGCACUACUUUAGACCAGAGUGUCAAUAAGAGGUAGGGCACUACUUUAGACCAGAGUGUCAAUAAGACGUAGUGCACUACUUUAGACCAGUGUCAAUAGGAAGUAGUGCACUACACAGGGAACAGGGCACCAUUUGAGACGCUCAAACCAAAACAUGAUUACACGGUGUUAAGAAAUGUAGAAAAAAACCAACACAGAAAUCCUUUUGGCAUGAGGAUAAAAGCCUUUUUAAGCCAGAGAGGAGUGUAAAGUAAGGCAGUAACUGUCCUUCAUCAAAUUAUAUUAUUACAUAAACAACAUUUUGUUAAUCUAUUGAAUCCUUUUUGGUUAGUUUGUUGUCGUUUUUCACACAGGGGCUGUUGUUGUAUAAAUAUGACCAGUAUGUGCACUUUCAAACAUUCACGUUUAUAUAAAAAAUAAACAUAAACAGUUUCACUUAGACAACAGCCACAGAAGACAUCACCAGGGAAACUGGGCUACAGUGAGAGAUGGCAGCCAUUUUGGAUCUGUUUUAAACAAGGGUCCCUCAUGUCCUUCAGGGGGUACCUAGGUUUAUGCCUGAUUGAAAAAGAGCUUAAAUUAUUUUUUACUUCAGUGAUCCUUUU
Long non-coding RNA from Oncorhynchus tshawytscha (Chinook salmon), 1002 nucleotides. The record is from Ensembl. NCBI's taxonomy places the organism in Eukaryota, Metazoa, Chordata, Actinopteri, Salmoniformes, Salmonidae.